GGUGGGUAGUUUGACUGGGGCGGUCUCCUCCUAAAGAGUAACGGAGGAGCACGAAGGUUGGCUAAUCCUGGUCGGACAUCAGGAGGUUAGUGCAAUGGCAUAAGCCAGCUUGACUGCGAGCGUGACGGCGCGAGCAGGUGCGAAAGCAGGUCAUAGUGAUCCGGUGGUUCUGAAUGGAAGGGCCAUCGCUCAACGGAUAAAAGGUACUCCGGGGAUAACAGGCUGAUACCGCCCAAGAGUUCAUAUCGACGGCGGUGUUUGGCACCUCGAUGUCGGCUCAUCACAUCCUGGGGCUGAAGUAGGUCCCAAGGGUAUGGCUGUUCGCCAUUUAAAGUGGUACGCGAGCUGGGUUUAGAACGUCGUGAGACAGUUCGGUCCCUAUCUGCCGUGGGCGCUGGAGAACUGAGGGGGGCUGCUCCUAGUACGAGAGGACCGGAGUGGACGCAUCACUGGUGUUCGGGUUGUCAUGCCAAUGGCACUGCCCGGUAGCUAAAUGCGGAAGAGAUAAGUGCUGAAAGCAUCUAAGCACGAAACUUGCCCCGAGAUGAGUUCUCCCUGAGACUUAGAGUCUCCUGAAGGAACGUUGAAGACGACGACGUUGAUAGGCCGGGUGUGUAAGCGCAGCGAUGCGUUGAGCUAACCGGUACUAAUGAACCGUGAGGCUUAACCUUACAACGCCGAAG
Molecule: ribosomal RNA, 683 nt
Filed under: Salmonella enterica subsp. enterica serovar Thompson
Lineage: Bacteria; Pseudomonadati; Pseudomonadota; Gammaproteobacteria; Enterobacterales; Enterobacteriaceae
Also listed under: 1 other name
Description: partial 23S ribosomal RNA
Rfam family: Bacterial large subunit ribosomal RNA
Source: RNAcentral